AGUCAGUGUUGGUAAACCGUGGAGAAAAUUUGAUUUUGAAUUGCACUUGCUUUAAUGCGUGUAAUGGCCAAUGGAGAGGUCCAAAUACGAUACUAGCACCAAAUGCUGGUGCUUUGAUACCAUACACACAGGGAAUGGAUUUGAAUCCAAGACUACAUAAAUCAAAAUAUAGGAUUUUUGGUGGAUACGAUACUCACAAUUGCAACUUGCAGAUUACAAACUUCUUGUCAGAUGACGAUGGUGUAUACAAGUGUGAGUAUGUGCACUCAUCAACAGUUUACACAGAUGUUUACAACGUAAGCGCAACACGUACCAGAAAUUUUGCAGAUAUGUCUACAAAAAAUCAUGUUGUAACGAGUACAGAACCAGAUAUUUGCACAUUUGAAACUAAAGACUUCAGUAGCAACUCAGGGAAAUGUUAUGAUUUUGUCUGUACGCUAAUAGGUAGUUUGAUUGGAGGAGGUCUUAUAUUCAGCAUAUGUUUCAAUAUUUAUUGCCUUCUGAAACGCAAGCGAAAUUCAGGAAUCGUUCCUGAAAUUCCACAUGAAGUUCAAUAUUAUGAAAUUGGAAGCAUUCACGAUAACAGUGCGAGUAUCCAAGGCGUACCAAACAAUGUGCAAGAAGCAGUAUCUAAUGUCGACAGACCAGCUUCGCAAAGAACCAACAGUACUAUAUCGUCCUUUGAAAAGCCGAGUUCCUCAGAGAGUUAUGUACAAAGUCUAUCAAAUACACUGCUGAAUGAAGGAGGAUAUGAAAAUCCUUAUCAGAUAAUUGAUCUUGAAAAUAUUGAAACACACCUAUAUAGAAUAUUAAGGUCAAAUAUGUAUCAAAAUACCAUAAUUUUUCCGAAAGAGAUAACAAAUACAAAUUCUAAACAAGAAAGAGAUCCUUGGCUAAUAAUAUACAAGAGCACAUCUGUAAAUGACUUGAAAUGAAAUGUGAUUUUAUAUUCAAAAUGCCCGGAAAGAAAUACAAUGUGAUUUUAUAUACCACUUGAAGAACAGAAUAACAAAGAAAGUAUAAGGUAUAGACUCGCUUAACGUGAGAAAUUAUUAAAACGGGAUUAAAAAUUCUUUCCUAGAUUUAUAUAUUUUACUUUCCUGAGACGGAGAAAACUUCAUUUUUAUACAUCUAUAUAUUUUAAACAUAAAGAUGUAG
Long non-coding RNA from Mytilus californianus (California mussel), 1158 nucleotides. RefSeq lists it as uncharacterized. NCBI's taxonomy places the organism in Eukaryota, Metazoa, Mollusca, Bivalvia, Mytilida, Mytilidae. The record is from RefSeq and is a predicted model, not a curated record. The transcript has 3 exons.